Clostridium amylolyticum is the source of this 72-nucleotide transfer RNA. It matches the Rfam family "tRNA". From Rfam's summary of the family: Transfer RNA (tRNA) molecules are approximately 80 nucleotides in length. Their secondary structure includes four short double-helical elements and three loops (D, anti-codon, and T loops). NCBI's taxonomy places the organism in Bacteria, Bacillati, Bacillota, Clostridia, Eubacteriales, Clostridiaceae. The record is from Rfam.
GGCGCUAUAGCCAAGCGGUAAGGCAAAGGUCUGCAACACCUUUAUUCCCCAGUUCAAAUCUGGGUGGCGCCU